GGAUGGUCUGUGGUUCAGUAGAAGAACGCUUGCCUGGGGUACAGAAGGUCCUAGGUUCAAUCCCUGGCAUCUCCA
This 75-nucleotide transfer RNA is filed under the name Sphaerodactylus townsendi. RNAcentral's name for it is "tRNA-Pro". The stretch from base 9 to 69 matches the Rfam family "tRNA", at positions 6 to 65 of the family's 71-position model. Rfam says of the family: Transfer RNA (tRNA) molecules are approximately 80 nucleotides in length. Their secondary structure includes four short double-helical elements and three loops (D, anti-codon, and T loops). Lineage: Eukaryota; Metazoa; Chordata; Lepidosauria; Squamata; Sphaerodactylidae. The record is from RNAcentral.